AGGGAAUAUUAGAAAUGGACGAAAGUCUGAUCUAGCGACACCGCGUGUGCGAAGAAGGCCUUCGGGUUGUAAAGCACUUUUUGGAAGGAAUAGGAAGGAAGGUACUUCCAGAAUAAGUCUCGGCUAACUACGUGCCAGCAGCCGCGGUAACACGUAGGAGGCGAACGUUAUCCGGAUUUACUGGGCGUAAAGCGCGUGUAGGUGGUUCUGUAAGUAGGGCGUGAAAGCUCCUGGCUCAACUGGGAGAGGCCGUUCUAAACUGCAGAGCUAGAGGAUGGUAGAGUGAGGUGGAAUGCCAGGUGUAGCGGUGGAAUGCGCAGAUAUCUGGAGGAACACCAGUGGCUAAGGCGGCCUCCUGGACCAUUCCUGACACUCAGACGCGAAAGCUAGGGUAGCAAACGG
Molecule: ribosomal RNA, 402 nt
Filed under: uncultured bacterium
Lineage: Bacteria
Description: bacterial SSU rRNA
Rfam family: Bacterial small subunit ribosomal RNA
Source: RNAcentral